RNAcentral lists this ribosomal RNA (253 nucleotides) under uncultured bacterium. RNAcentral describes it as "partial 16S ribosomal RNA". It matches the Rfam family "Bacterial small subunit ribosomal RNA", at positions 524 to 776 of the family's 1533-position model. The record is from RNAcentral.
UACGUAGGCAGCAAGCGUUGUUCGGAGUUACUGGGCGUAAAGGGCGUGUAGGCGGCUGCUUAAGUUUGGUGUGAAAUCUCCCGGCUCAACCGGGAGGGUGCGCCGAAUACUGAGUGACUCGAGUGCGGGAGAGGAGAGUGGAAUUCCUGGUGUAGCGGUGAAAUGCGUAGAUAUCAGGAGGAACACCGGUGGUGUAGACGGCUCUCUGGACCGUAACUGACGCUGAGACACGAAAGCGUGGGUAGCAAACAGG